CGGGGUUGUCACUUUAAAUUAAAGAGGGAGAGCGCGGGCGAGCGGACGAGCGCGAGGGAGCGCGCGGCGGGCUCCUGGGAGCGUGCCCGGACUGCAGCGCAGCUCCUGUCCGCCACCCCGGCCCCUCGGAGCCCCCGACCCGAGCCGCGCUCUUCUGCCUGAAGCGGGCGCCGGGCGACACUGCAGGGGUGGCGUUGCUGCCGCCGGCCAGCUUUGCGCCGGUGCGUGCGCGCUGCAGGAGGCGGGCCGGGAGCCGGGCCGGGAGCCGAGAGCCAGAGCCGGAGACGGAGCUGGAGACGGAGCUGGAGACGGAGCCUGAGCCCAAGCCCGAGUCAGAGCGGGUCCCCUCGGCGAGCCCGGCUACCUGUGACUAUGGCCAAAGCCAUUUCCUGGGCCUGGGUUUUCUUAACAGUACAAGGGUCCUCAAAGCAGCAGGGAGCAACAGCAGCCCCUCAAAGGCCUGCAGGGAGGAUGCACAGAGGUAACAGGAACUCUCCUCACCUACCCACUUGGAACUCAUCUUUGAGCCAGACUGACUUCUUAGCAACAGUAAUAAUAAAACAGUAAGCAGUUGCCCAGGCUCAG
RNAcentral lists this long non-coding RNA (585 nucleotides) under Heterocephalus glaber (naked mole-rat). RNAcentral describes it as "lncRNA (ENSHGLG00100037758.1)". Lineage: Eukaryota; Metazoa; Chordata; Mammalia; Rodentia; Bathyergidae. The record is from RNAcentral.